This 253-nucleotide ribosomal RNA is filed under the name uncultured bacterium. RNAcentral's name for it is "partial 16S ribosomal RNA". It matches the Rfam family "Bacterial small subunit ribosomal RNA", at positions 524 to 776 of the family's 1533-position model. The record is from RNAcentral.
UACGAAGGGUGCAAGCGUUACUCGGAAUUACUGGGCGUAAAGAGUGUGUAGGCGGUGUUCUAAGUCUGUUGUGAAAUCUCCCGGCUUAACUGGGAGGGUGCGGCGGAAACUGGAAUGCUAGAGGAUGGGAGAGGUAAGCGGAAUUCCUGGUGUAGCGGUGAAAUGCGUAGAUAUCAGGAGGAACACCUGUGGUGUAGACAGCUUACUGGACCAUUUCUGACGCUGAGACACGAAAGCGUGGGUAGCAAACAGG